UACGGAGGGUGCAAGCGUUAUCCGGAUUCACUGGGUUUAAAGGGUGCGUAGGUGGGUUGGUAAGUCAGUGGUGAAAUCUCCGUGCUUAACAUGGAAACUGCCAUUGAUACUACUGAUCUUGAAUUUUCAGGAGGUAAGCGGAAUAUGUCAUGUAGCGGUGAAAAUGCUUAGAUAUGACAUAGAACACCUAUUGCGAAGGCAGCUUACUACGCAUAUAUUGACGCUGAGGCACGAAAGCGUGGGGAUCAAACAGG
RNAcentral lists this ribosomal RNA (254 nucleotides) under uncultured bacterium. RNAcentral describes it as "partial 16S ribosomal RNA". It matches the Rfam family "Bacterial small subunit ribosomal RNA", at positions 524 to 776 of the family's 1533-position model. The record is from RNAcentral.